This 145-nucleotide unclassified non-coding RNA is filed under the name Stylophora pistillata. RNAcentral's name for it is "uncharacterized LOC111327820, transcript variant X1". Lineage: Eukaryota; Metazoa; Cnidaria; Anthozoa; Scleractinia; Pocilloporidae. The record is from RNAcentral.
GGGAAGAUCUCCUAUUUUGAAGGCGUCUUGCAGGAUGGAGGGAUCGAAGAAGAAAACCAAUAUAAAAAGAUAUUUGCCCUUACAGUGUUAAAAGGCCAAUGGUGUGGAGUGAUCAACACAAUAUGUUAUUGCAAGAAAUUUAUUU